GUUUGCGGUAUAUAUAGGAGGGGACCGUAGGACCAGACAAGGCAAGGGGUGGGCAGUUAAGAUGAGACGCUGGUGCUCUUCGUGAAGUGGCAUAAUAUUGAAGAGCUCCCAGUGAGCUCUCCAAGAAGGGACUCAUCAGGAGUGUCCUUGGCAUCCCGUUUGUGGAACAGAGGGACUUAAAUGGGAUCAGGGAGAAGGAGAUUUUCAAUGAAGAACCAGUGAAAGCCUCAUGCAUCCUCCUGUGAGUGUUUGGAGCUGCCAUGGUCUUUCGGAUGUGUUCUGGAUUGGAAGAGAGCCUGGCCUUUUCACCCGUCAGGAGCCGUCUUAGAUACUGACAUCUCCUGAAAGGGGACGGAGCUUUGAAGAGGCUGUUUUCUUCCACGGAGGUCAUCCCUGAGAUAACUGACAGCUGAGGACUGUUUUAUAAUUGCAUAAGACACAGCAGGGGCCAUGAGGUCUUAAUUUCUGAAGGAGGAGCUGGGCAGUACAAGAGAGAGAAGUGUGUGUGUGUGUGUGUGUGUGUGUAGAAAUUAACGGAAGGUACACACCAGAAUCUUAAUAUUGGUCACCUCAGAGACUGGAAUUGGGGUGUAUGCAAAUAUUAAUUUUACCUUUAUAUAGCUUUUCACUAUCACAUCUUUAACAAAUGUAACAUUUGCCAAUAUUCUUUAAAUUUCGUAAAGAUUCUCACAAUGGAAUUUUAAUUCCAUGAUUCUCCUGCAUUCCAUGUUCACUAUACUUCUUGGAACUCUGUAUUUUUUUUGUAUUUCUUGAGACUCAAUGGUCAUCAUCAUACCAAUCACAGCUUAAAGAAAAAAAAUUAAUUCUUUAACAACUUUAUCAAAUUUGAAAAAGAUUUUCUGUAUUCUGUACAUCAGAUUUUCUUCUCAUUUUUAAAGCUGUGAGUGGGAGAAAAAUCCUAUUCUUACUUCUUGGUUGCCAACCACGGAUAAGUCUCUUUGAGCAGAAAACCAAUUAGAAGUUAUUCUUAUGCUAUGGUUGGAUGUAAGAAUGCUUUCAAAUUAAAAAAAAAAAAAAGAAAGUCACAAAGCUUACUGCACCAUUAGUGAAUAAUAGAUUUCCUUUGGUUUGAGGUAGAAUUUGAAUUAAAUUAAUAGCUUUGUGGCAUUUCAGUUUUUUAAAAAAUCAGUAAUUCUGAAUUACGGAUUGUACGAGUUUAUGGAGAAAACUAAACGUAGCCCAAGAUGAAUAACCGAAAGAGCUGCAGGAGGGCAGAAUGAUUUCCUCCAUCACAGGCUUGGUUAAAGUGGGCAUUUUAGGCAUAAUAGGAGCAGCCUCUGCGCCGUGUAUAUGACUGAGGAGUUAGGAUCCAGGAAUGAUGAGAGAACAGGGCAGCAGCCUAGAAAUCACUGCCAGUGUUGAGGUUGCAGCCUUCAGUCCAAAGACAGUCUGCUGAUUCCUUCCAUGAACGUCCUUCCUGCUGUGACAUCAGACCAAACAAGCAGGUGCCGUGGCCCGCGGUGAUGACUCUGAAAGAAGCCCUCCCAUUCUGGAGUGACAAAACCAGUGCAGAGCCUUUGUGUAGUUCCAGCCCAGAGGAUUGACCAGCUGUCCACCUUGCUGACCCUCCACAUGCCUUCCCUUCCAUGUUUCAAGGAUACAGAUGGGAGAGAAGCCUCCAUGUUGGAAGACUGCACCAUCCAGUGGGAAAGUCGGCUAAGCAAAGAAACAUGAUGCAGCGUGGAAGUGACUGUCACCUUGGUGGCAUUGCCCUGGGUAAUACAGGGAUAGAAAAGAGAGGGAUUUCCCCACCAAUACAAGCAGUAAAUUCAAGAAAAAAAAAAGUGGAUUUAAUUGCCAAUCCGAGUGACUUCAGCCUUUGGUUCUUACAACUGUACUGUCAGCUUCCAGAAUAUAAAUUUUUAAAUAUACCCUAUAUCACCUUCCAGAGAUGUCUGUGCUGCUCCGUGAUAGGUGAUGUGACAACAGUAUCAAACUGAGUAAAAUGAGCAUUAACUAUCUUAUUGAAACUCCCUAGCACAGCACUCAGCAGCAUUGGCAUAUAGCUAUUAUGAGCAUUUUGCAAAAUCUUCUUGAUGGAAGAGGAUCAAAUGAUUUUUAAUAAGAAUAUAUAUAUAUGAAAUAUAUAUAUAUGAAAUAUAUAAAUAUGCAUAUGUAAAGAAAGCAUGAGAGAGAGAUAAGAUGGAAGAGAAUCAUUUAUCAGAUAUUAAUACUGCAGUAGACCUUCCAAAAAAUCCAACUUGAUGGUAAGUCAUAUUUUGAGAAAUUUUAUUUUAACUGCAUGAUUUAAAAAGAUGCCAACACUUGAGUACACUAGUUUUUAAUCAGUACAUACACCUUUGUUUUAUUAUCACUUCUGGCUAUUCAAGUGAAAAUUUAAUUAAAUGUUUUUACUUGAAUAAAUAAUCUGAUAAAAAUGAGAUUAGUGAUGUCUAGUGACUGGAGGGAACUGUCUGUGGUGAUUGAUAGCUCUGAGAAUGUGAUGCCGAAUCUUAUUUUCCACUCUUUCCUGACCCUUGAGUGGCAUUUGAUUACAGUUUCAACAGACUGAAUCCCAACACUGAAUCAGGAUUCCCCAGAUUUCAGGUUGAUUAUUUGAAUUAUUAAUACAUUUUAAUUUGUGAAACAUUGUCAUCAGUGCUUCAUGUAAAAUCUCUUCCUUAUUUCAUUUUGUUUUAUCCUAGUCCCUAUUUCCCAUUCCUUCUUUGGUAACCAUCCAAUGAGGUCAAUUUUGUUCUUUGUAUUUGUGCAUACCCUUGAAGAAUGGCAUGGUUGUACUACACUUAUUCUUUUUGUUCUUUCCUCUUUUGUUGUUAAGUACAUGUUAUUAGAAAUGUGA
Non-coding RNA from Ictidomys tridecemlineatus (thirteen-lined ground squirrel), 2821 nucleotides. Lineage: Eukaryota; Metazoa; Chordata; Mammalia; Rodentia; Sciuridae. The record is from RefSeq and is a predicted model, not a curated record.